RNAcentral lists this ribosomal RNA (179 nucleotides) under uncultured bacterium. RNAcentral's name for it is "partial 16S ribosomal RNA". It matches the Rfam family "Bacterial small subunit ribosomal RNA", at positions 1322 to 1500 of the family's 1533-position model. The record is from RNAcentral.
GAAGCUGGAAUCGCUAGUAAUCGCGAAUCAGAAUGUCGCGGUGAAUACGUUCCCGGGUCUUGUACACACCGCCCGUCACACCAUGGGAGUCGGAAAUGCCCGAAGUCAGUGACCUAACCGAAAGGGAGGAGCUGCCGAAGGUGGAGCCGGUAACUGGGGUGAAGUCGUAACAAGGUACC